AGAAGAGUAAAUGAAGAAGAGGAAGUCUAGAGGAAGUGGGAACAGUUUAUUGACUAUUACAAUAGUCCAAGCAAAAGAUAAUGAGAACAUAAAGUAGAAAACGAAAUGUAGGAAUGGAGAAGAAAUAACGAUUUAAAAACAUUUAAGGGAUCCUUCUAACAAAACCCAGUGAUUAGUGGUACAUCUGGAAUGAGGGAUUAUUCCAAGGUUUAUUAUUUAGAUAAUAGGUGACUCAUGCAGAGACUAAACACAGGAAAAACAAUUUUCAGGAAAAAUUAGAAAAGUUGCUAUUUAUACAUGUUAAAUUUGAGUUGUCUAUAACAGAUCUGUCUACUGAUAUCAAUUUGGCUAUCGAACUCAGGAGUAAAAUUUUGUCUAAAGAUAAAAGAAGAAAAUUAGAAGUGCCUAAAACUGACAACGGGUCUAGUAUCUAGAUCAUCCAAGGAACUUCCGCAAAUUCAUCAGACUAAAAAGAAGAACCCUAAAUAGAAAAAAAAAAAUGGUCAAAGGACAGGAAUAGGCAAUUAAUAGAAAAGGAAACUCCCAAAUUUCUCAAGCAUAUGAAGAGAUGCUUAAGCUCAUUAGUAAUGUGAGACAUGAAAAAUUAAAAUUGCAAUGGUAUGUUACUCUCUAUCUAGUCUACUGGAUAAAAAUUAGAAAGUUAGACAACAUGAAGUGUUGGCCUGGAUUUGAAGAUGCAGGAACUUAGAGACUGGUUGGAGAAGCAGGCAAGAGAUGGGCAUUCUGGAGUGCAAUCUGACAGUAUUUGGUUAAAAUUGACUAAAUUAAGUAUAGACACCCCCUCUGGCCCAAUAAUUCUGCUUCUGAAUACACAUGUUGAAGAGAUUCUCACACAUAUCCACAGGGUGCCUGUGCAGCAGUAUUCACUGUGAUAGGAAGUGAGAAGCAGUCUGAGUGUUCAUUGCUGAGGGAAUCAAGGGCAAAAUAUCAUGGAUGCACUCAUGGACAAAUAAGCAGCAGUUUGAAGCAACACCCUAGAUGGAUGUACAGCCAUCAAGAGGAUCUUAAAGUGUGGUCUUUAGUGGAAAAAAAGGUAAGAAAUCAAAUACAAUCUCUUAUAUAGUACUAGUCACAUUAAGUAAAAAUAUACGCAAAAAAUAUAUACACAAUACCCAAUAAACACAUUUUUUGUGGUUGUCUAUGGUGGGGCAGUCAAACAGAGAGAAAAGAAAUGCAUUAUCAUUUUUAAAGUAAUAAGAAAGCACAGAUGGGUGCUUCAUAAAUAUUAUUGAAGGAUGAUGACACAAAGGAUUAUUCAAUACCUC
Molecule: long non-coding RNA, 1286 nt
Filed under: Pan troglodytes (chimpanzee)
Lineage: Eukaryota; Metazoa; Chordata; Mammalia; Primates; Hominidae
Description: long non-coding RNA NONPTRT017808
Source: RNAcentral